GCACAAGCGGUGGAGCAUGUGGUUUAAUUCGAAGCAACGCGAAGAACCUUACCAGGUCUUGACAUCCCGAUGCUAUUUCUAGAGAUAGAAAGUUACUUCGGUACAUCGGUGACAGGUGGUGCAUGGUUGUCGUCAGCUCGUGUCGUGAGAUGUUGGGUUAAGUCCCCGCAACGAGCGCAACCCCUAUUGUUAGUUGCCAUCAUUCAGUUGGGCACUCUAGCGAGACUGCCGGUAAUAAACCGGAGGAAGGUGGGGAUGACGUCAAAUCAUCAUGCCCCUUAUGACCUGGGCUACACACGUGCUACAAUGGUUGGUACAACGAGUUGCGAGUCGGUGACGGCGAGCUAAUCUCUUAAAGCCAAUCUCAGUUCGGAUUGUAGGCUGCAACUCGCCUACAUGAAGUCGGAAUCGCUAGUAAUCGCGGAUCAGCACGCCGCGGUGAAUACGUUCCCGGGCCUU
This 459-nucleotide ribosomal RNA is filed under the name uncultured Streptococcus sp. RNAcentral describes it as "bacterial SSU rRNA". It matches the Rfam family "Bacterial small subunit ribosomal RNA", at positions 923 to 1382 of the family's 1533-position model. Lineage: Bacteria; Bacillati; Bacillota; Bacilli; Lactobacillales; Streptococcaceae. The record is from RNAcentral.